CCUACGGGAGGCAGCAGUGGGGAAUAUUGCACAAUGGGGGAAACCCUGAUGCAGCGACGCCGCGUGAGUGAAGAAGUAUUUCGGUACGUAAAGCUCUAUCAGCAGGGAAGAAAAUUACGGUACCUGACUAAUACGCCCCGGCUAACUACGUGCCAGCAGCCGCGGUAAUACGUAGGGGGCAAGCGUUAUCCGGAUUUACUGGGUGUAAAGGGAGCGUAGACGGCAGCGCAAGUCUGGAGUGAAAUCCCAUGGCUUAACCAUGGAACUGCUUUGGAAACUGUGCAGCUAGAGUGCAGGAGAGGUAAGCGGAAUUCCUAGUGUAGCGGUGAAAUGCGUAGAUAUUAGGAGGAACACCAGUGGCGAAGGCGGCUUACUGGACUGUAACUGACGUUGAGGCUCGAAAGCGUGGGGAGCAAACAGGAUUAGAUACCCUUGUAGUC
Molecule: ribosomal RNA, 440 nt
Filed under: uncultured bacterium
Lineage: Bacteria
Description: partial 16S ribosomal RNA
Rfam family: Bacterial small subunit ribosomal RNA
Source: RNAcentral